AACGAACGCUGGCGGUGUGCUUAACACAUGCAAGUCGAACGAGAAAGUUUCCUUCGGGAAACUAGUAAAGUGGCGCAAGGGUGAGUAACACGUGAAUAAUCUGCCCUCGAGAUCGGGAUAACUUGGCGAAAGCUAAGCUAAUACCGGAUAAGACCACAUUUCAUAAGAAAUGCGGGAAAAGGAGUCUCAACCUUCACUCGAGGAUGAGUUCGCGGACCAUUAGCUUGUUGGUGAGAUAAAAGCUCACCAAGGCUACGAUGGAUAGCCGGCCUGAGAGGGUGAUCGGCCACACUGGAACUGAGACACGGUCCAGACUCCUACGGGAGGCAGCAGUGGGGAAUAUUGCGCAAUGGGCGAAAGCCUGACGCAGCAACACCGUGUGAGCGAUG
Molecule: ribosomal RNA, 389 nt
Filed under: uncultured Nitrospina sp.
Lineage: Bacteria; Pseudomonadati; Nitrospinota; Nitrospinia; Nitrospinales; Nitrospinaceae
Description: bacterial SSU rRNA
Rfam family: Bacterial small subunit ribosomal RNA
Source: RNAcentral